GAAAUGCGAUAAGUAAUGUGAAUUGUAGAAUUCAGUGAAUCAUCGAAUCUUUGAACGCACCUUGCGCUCCUUGGUAUUCCUUGGAGCAUGCCUGUUUGAGUAUCAUGAAAUCUUCAAAGUAAAUCUUUUGUUAACUCAAUUGGCUUCUACUUUGGUAUUGGAGGUCUUUGCAGCUUCACACCUGCUCCUCUUUGUUCAUUAGCUGGAUCUCAGUGUUAUGCUUGGUUCCACUCGGCGUGAUAAGUUAUCUAUCGCUGAGGACACUGUAAAAGGUGGCCAAGGUAAAUGCAGAUGAACCGCUUCUAAUAGUCCAUUGACUUGGACAAUACUUUUAUGAUCUGAUCUCAAAUCAGGUAGGACUACCCGCUGAACUUAAGC
Molecule: unclassified non-coding RNA, 378 nt
Filed under: plant metagenome
Description: partial contains 5.8S ribosomal RNA, internal transcribed spacer 2, and large subunit ribosomal RNA
Rfam family: 5.8S ribosomal RNA (bases 1-105)
Source: RNAcentral